Molecule: ribosomal RNA, 253 nt
Filed under: uncultured bacterium
Lineage: Bacteria
Description: partial 16S ribosomal RNA
Rfam family: Bacterial small subunit ribosomal RNA
Source: RNAcentral
GACGGAGGGGGCUAGCGUUGUUCGGAAUGACUGGGCGUAAAGGGCGCGUAGGCGGUUUUUUAAGUGAGGCGUGAAAGCCCUGGGCUUAACCCAGGAAUUGCGUUUCAGACUGGAAGACUUGAGUACGAGAGAGGUAAGUGGAAUUCCUAGUGUAGAGGUGAAAUUCGUAGAUAUUAGGAAGAACACCGGUGGCGAAGGCGGCUUACUGGCUCGUAGCUGACGCUGAGGCGCGAAAGCGUGGGGAGCAAACAGG